RNAcentral lists this long non-coding RNA (2272 nucleotides) under Pan troglodytes (chimpanzee). RNAcentral describes it as "long non-coding RNA NONPTRT005743". Lineage: Eukaryota; Metazoa; Chordata; Mammalia; Primates; Hominidae. The record is from RNAcentral.
CUGGAAGUGUGUGGUAGUUAACACCUCAAGGGGUAAUGAAUGCUUGGCCAGUGUGGAUUAGAAGCCAGUGGAUAAAUUAUCUUGUCUUCCAGUCCUUUGGCAGACAAUUCCGAGGUGUAUUCUCCAUCAUUCCUGAGAGGAUUGUCAGGCUAGUAGCAGCGAACUUCUGUGCCCAUGGUGGCAACCAGGUGGAUAAUUCACCCUCAAAUUGGCCUUCCUUCUGUUUCCGUCUUCCCAGUCCCCACUCCUGUUUUUUGGGGAUCAUUUCCCAAAAUAUACUUUCUGCAUGCAAUUCCUUGUCCCAGGCACUGCUUUUUUGGGGACCCAGUCUAAAACAACAUGUUCAUUACCUCUCUUUAGAAUAUGGUGAUACUUGUCAUUUAUUGUCCUUGCUUUGUGGAAAAUUCUAGACCAAAGGAGAAGUCCCAUCUAACAUCCUUCUGUACAUCGUUACUGGAAAUGAAGAGCUGACAGUCAUAGACUGAUUGCCAAGCAGAACCCCACACUGCUUAACAGCUCGCACAGCGUUCCUGUUGACGUGUUGUUGCUGAGAGCACUUUCCAGUAAUCUUUCUGAACACAAAUCACCAGCUCAAUCUGUUUCCUGGGGAACUUGAACUACAACAGAAUGAUACUGGGGAGUUUGCAAAAUCAAACUAAACAUAGGCAGCACGAAGGACACAAAGCAGGGGAGCCCCAGAAAUCUUAGUGGUAGAAACCUUUAAACCUCUUAGGGUACCACCAGGGUAUCUCUGCUCAAUAUUUAAAUCCCUGGAAGGGAGCCUCUGAUUGGCCUUGUUUGGGUUGGGAAUCAGGGCCCUGUGAUCAGAACUACCUGGGAUAGUGGAGAGGAAAGAGAAGCAACCUGUGUCUUCCAGACCAUGGUAUCUGAAGUUUUCUUGGAGGAAGUCAAAUAAAUAUGUGGGUUGAGGAUGGGAGCUCUAAGCAGAGGAUGUGGUGGCUCAUUUAAGAUCACACAUUGACAAAGAGCAGAGUGGUGUCAAGAUUCUGGGACAGAGGCAAGUUAGAGAUAAAACUCUUGUUUUUCCCAAGGUCCAUCAUACAACUGAAAUGGAAGACUAUGGCUUGCUGACCAAUUCUUGCUCAUUUGGGGUUACUUUAUAUAGGGGGGUAAGUGUCCCUUCAGGUGGACUGAGAGUCACCAGAAGAUUUAGUGGAAGGACCCUGCCUCUGGGGAUGCAUAUGUAGCUGGUACUAAUGAGUACUUUCUAUGUAUCAGAAAGCCACCAAAUAUCACUCUUCCUCCCCUGAGUUCAGAACCACCUGACAGACAGACACAGGGGUCAUAUGGGGCUAGGUCGAAAGAUCAGCUUGAUUGAUAAUGGAUUGGUGGAUGUAGCCUGGGUAUACAGCUUCCUAGUACUAGACUCCUACAUCGGAGACAUCCAUUCUCCAACCAGUCACGAGAAGAACUGGCCAGAUACCGUAGUUUUUCUCAUUAGGGCAGGAGCUCAGUGCAUGGCAUGUCCACGCUGAAAGAAUGAGAGGAAAAAAUGAAUGGAAAAUACAGGUGGUAUUGAAGAAAGAGCACUCUUCCUGUGGGGGGUCAGAUCCAAAAUAAAGAAACCAGAUGGGGCUGAAUCUAACAUGCUCUGUUCCUUCUGUAUAACUCACCAUCCAGAGUGAGGAGGAGUGAGGGGAGGAGGAGCGAAAGGACAGGUGUGUCGCUCUGGCCAAAGUCCUUCCAUGUGCUCACAUGGAGCUGGGGAAGAGGAAGUGUGGAACAACUACUUUCCAUAUAUUUACAUAUAUUAGCAUAUCUAGUUUCACAACACUAUGAAGUAUCACUGUCCCGAUUUUAUAGAAGAGGAAACUGAGGCCAAGGCCAUCUUCCAAGGAUGUGCUUGCUUGGGAUUUGAACCAAGGAACUAAGUGUCCUCUGAUCUGAAAGCCCAUGUUCUUUUCAGUGCCCUUUACCUGCUCUUCAUUUGGAGUGCAGGGGAAGGGGAGGACUCCUGGCUCUCUUCUCCAGCCCUCACAGGGGUCCUGAAGCUUCCAGCUCACGUUGGACCUGGUUGCUUGAGUUACCUCAUGUACCUGAGUCUACAAAGGCUUCUAUGGGAAUGUGACAGAUUUGAAGGGGCAGUCACUGGGCCCGUACCAGGAAGGCUGGGAAUAGGGCUCCUUUCCUGUGGUGCUUAGCGUUGGUCUCCCCUGCAGGACCUAUACCCGCUUGCUAGACCAGGCUGUCCUCACAUGGCCAAAGAGGCUGCCACAAAGGCCUCACCUUGCCUCCCACCAGGACACCCUGG